This 498-nucleotide ribosomal RNA is filed under the name uncultured bacterium. RNAcentral describes it as "partial 16S ribosomal RNA". It matches the Rfam family "Bacterial small subunit ribosomal RNA", at positions 27 to 507 of the family's 1533-position model. The record is from RNAcentral.
GGAUGAACGCUGGCGGCGUGCCUAAUACAUGCAAAUCGAGCGAACGGACGAGAAGCUUGCUUCUCUGAUGUUCGCGGCGGACGGGUGAGUAACACGUGGAUAACCUACCUAUAAGACUGGGAUAACUUCGGGAAACCGGAGCUAAUACCGGAUAAUAUUUUGAACCGCAUGGUUCAAAAGUGAAAGACGGUCUUGCUGUCACUUAUAGAUGGAUCCGCGCUGCAUUAGCUAGUUGGUAAGGUAACGGCUUACCAAGGCAACGAUGCAUAGCCGACCUGAGAGGGUGAUCGGCCACACUGGAACUGAGACACGGUCCAGACUCCUACGGGAGGCAGCGGUAGGGAAUCUUCCGCAAUGGGCGAAAGCCUGACGGAGCAACGCCGCGUGAGUGAUGAAGGUCUUCGGAUCGUAAAACUCUGUUAUUAGGGAAGAACAUAUGUGUAAGUAACUGUGCACAUCUUGACGGUACCUAAUCAGAAAGCCACGGCUAACUACGUG